This 5216-nucleotide long non-coding RNA is filed under the name Triticum aestivum (bread wheat). RNAcentral's name for it is "long non-coding RNA (TAES_LNC027363)". Lineage: Eukaryota; Viridiplantae; Streptophyta; Magnoliopsida; Poales; Poaceae. The record is from RNAcentral.
UCCUCGAUCCCUCCUCUGCCUCUGCUCCGUCGCCUCUGUGCGAACUAGCGGAACGUCUUGCCUUGCUCAAGCCGACGGGUUCGUGUUAAAUAGAUGGGGCGCACCUCCCAUAACAGCGCAUACAUGCGGUUUGGAUUACAAGCUUGGAGAUCAAGAAAGGAGAUAGAGAUAAGAGGUUACAUGAGAUAAACAAGAUACUCUAACAACCUAACUACCUUAACUAUCUCCUAUGAGAUGCGCCGGUCACAUAACAUGACGUGUUUAACACCCUCCCUUAAUCACAACUCCAUGAGGUUGAGAUUAUACUUGAAGUUUUCAAAACUCUUGACUGGCAAUGCCUUUGUGAAUCCAUCUGCAAUUUGAUCUCUGGAGUGCACAAAACGAAUGUCAAGUUGCUUAUGAGCUACCCUCUCUCUGACAAAAUGAAAGUCUAUCUCAAUGUGUUUGGUCCUAGCAUGAAACACUGGAUUAGCUGAAAGAUAGGUGGCACCAAGAUUGUCACACCACAAACAUGGGGCCUGUUGACUCUGUAUACCAAGUUCCUUGAGCAUGGAUUGAACCCAUAUGAUUUCAGAUGUGGCAUUGGCCAAUGCCUUAUAUUCUGCCUCUGUACUCGAUCUGGAGACUGUAGCUUGCUUACGAGCACACCAUGAAAUUAAGUUGGGUCCAAAGAAAACAGCAAAACCACCAGUAGAGCGUCUAUCAUCAAGACAGCCUGCCCAAUCAGAAUCAGAAAAAGCACUGACAAGAGUAGAAGAUGACUUGCUAAAAUUGAGACCCAUGCUCAAUGUGUUUUUGACAUAUCUGACUAUGCGUUUGGCAGCAGUUAAAUGAACAGUUGUAGGUGCAUGAAGGAACUGACAUACUUUGUUGACAGCAAACGAAAUAUCAGGCCUGGUAAGAGUAAGAUAUUGAAGUGCCCCUACCAAGCUUCUGUAUUUGGUACUGUCCUCUUGAGUCAAGAGAGUCCCUUGUGUAAGAGAUAAUUUUUCUGAGCUGGAUAAUGGAGUAGGUGUAGGUUUACAACCCUGUAGACCAGCUUUCCUUACCAAGUCAACUGCAUACUUUUCUUGGGAGAGAUGAAGUCCAUCCUUGUGCCUCUUUACUUCAAUCCCAAGAAAAUAAUGCAAGUCUCCAAGAUCCUUCAAGGCAAAAUCUGCACUCAAAUCUUUUAACAGUCCUGUGAUGGCUUCAUCAGAUGAGCUUGUCACAAUAAUAUCAUCAACAUAUAUUAAGACAAAUAUGCAUGUAUUGGACUUGUUGUAGAUGAACAGAGAGGUGUCAGAUUUUGAAGGGACAAAACCAAGUGUUUGCAUUUUGUGACAGAGACGAGAGUACCAUGCUCUUGGUGCCUGUUUCAAACCAUAAAGUGCUUUGUCCAACUUGCAAACAUGAGAGGGUGCACUUUUACUUACAAACCCAGGAGGUUGUUUCAUGUAUACCUCCUCUUCCAGAACACCAUGAAGAAACGCAUUCUGAACAUCAAGUUGCCCGAGACUCCAUCCCCUGGAAACGGCAAUAGACAAAACAAGACGGAUAGUGGCAGCCUUAACAACUGGACUAAAAGUGUCCUCGUAGUCUAUGCCAUACCGUUGUUUAAAACCUUUUGCAACGAGCCUAGCUUUGUAGCGAUCAAUAGUUCCAUCAGAUUUUCUCUUUAUUCUGAAUACCCACUUGCAAUCAAUUAAAUUUUUACCUUGCUGUGGGGGAACCAAAUGCCAAGUUUUAUUCUUCUUGAGUGCCAUGUAUUCUUCAUUCAUAGCAUUUUUCCAUCUUUCAUCACCAAGUGCUUCCUGAAGUGUCCGAGGUUCACCUGGUUCACCUGUGGAACAGACCAUACCGUAUUUGGUUAUGUGUUUAUAAUUAACAGGAUGUAUUACCCCAUGCUGGAGUCGUGUAUGUCGUGGCGGUGCAGCAUUGGGAUCCCCGGCCACAGAAAAUCCCGAGGCAGAAGCUCCUGUAGCAGAAUCAGCUCCCGCCGGAUCUUCUGUGACAGUUUGAUCAGGUGCAGCGUGUUCUGUAUGCACAGAAGAUCCCGGGGCCUCAUCAUUGGAGGAUGAUGGCAGAUCAGCCUCGAGGCGGACGCCGAUCUGCUGUGCACGCGUGGGCGCACAGGAGUCCACGCCCGGUCCCGCAGCAGACCGGGACCCCGCGUCGUGUCGGCGAAUCUGGUCGCGCCGCUUGUACGUGACCGGCUGGUCACGGAAGCGCGCGUCGUCCUGGCGAACCUCAGGCUGCCGCGUGUCGAGCGAGGGUUGGCGCGGAGAGACGCUGGAGCCGCCGCCAAUUGGAGCGUGACGUGCGUCGCGCGCUGGGCUGGAGACAGCCGCACGAUCGGCUGGCGCUGUCGCCUGCGCGUCUGGCGCGUCAGCCGGCACCCAUCCCAAGGGGGAUCCGCUGAACUGCUGCUGCGGUGCCAAUCCCGAGGAGGAUUUGCCUCCUGGAUGCGGACACAUGCGAUGUGGGACUGCCGGCGCGUUUUUUUCACUUGUUUCUUCAUUAUUUUCGCUGCUGUCUCCUGGAACAUCAUCAAAAAACUCAUGCGCACCAUUAGUAGCAGGAUUAGUCAACAGUUGAUCAUCAUAAUUCGGACCCCCUGGAUCAAUGGUGGUAAGAUGAGUAGGUAGGAGGAGAAUUUCUUCUCGGAGGCGAGCACCGGCGUUUGGAUGUAGGGUAGCGGAGGGGAAGUUGGUUUCAUCAAAAACGACAUCGCGAGAUAUGUAGACACGGCCAGUGGAUAUAUCUAAACACUUGACACCUUUGUGUUGAGGGCUAUACCCGAGAAAAACACAUUGUUUUGAGCGGAGCAUGAGUUUUCUUUUGUUGUAUGGGCGAAGGUUGGGCCAACAAGCACACCCAAACACAUGAAGAGAUUUAUAGUCUGGUUUGACAUGAAGGAGUCUUUCUACUGGAGUUUGAUUGUUGAUGACUCGACUAGGGAGCAUAUUGAUGAUGUGGACGGCAGUAAGAAAGGCCUCAUCCCAAAAUUUUAGGGGCAUGUAGGCUCCUGCCAAGAGAGCUAGCCCAACCUCAACUAUGUGUCUCUGCUUCCUUUCAGCAGAGUCAUUCUGUUGAUGGGCAUGAGGGCAUGAUACAUGGUGUGAUAUGCCAAGUGUUUGGAAGGAGUUGAGUUUUUCAUACCCCCCCUCCCCCCCAGUCCGAUUGGACUGCAAUAAUUUUGCUAUCAAAUUUUCGUUCAACCAAGGCUUGAAAGUUUUGGAAAACUUGAAAGACUUCGGAUCUCUUUUUGAGAAGAUAAAUCCACACAAACUUGCUAUAGUCAUCUAUGAAGCUUACAUAAUACUCAUGUCUACCAACAGAAGUGGGAGCAGGACCCCACACAUCAGAAAAAAUCAAUUGAAGUGGUUUGGUAGAGACACUAGUAGAUAUUGGACAAGGUAAUUGAUGACUUUUAGCACAUUGGUAGGAAUCACAAAUAGUUUCGACAUUUCUCUCACCAACAAAUGGGAGUUUAUUUUUCCUAAGCAAUCUUUCAACUAAAGAAAAAGCAGCAUGCCCUAAUCGAUCGUGCCACCGUGUUGACGAAACUUUGACAACACCAUUGGCUUGUUUAUUGAGUCUCCUAAGCUCCGGAAGCAACGGGUAAAGCCCUCGAACACAUCUACCUCGAUAGAGAACCUUCUUCGUGGCCUGGUCCUUGAUCAAAAAGAAAUAGGGAUGAAAUUCGAGGAAAACAUGAUUAUCAAGGGCAAUUCUAUGAACCGAGAGAAGACUUUUGGCGGCACUAGGAACAUGCAAAAUUUUCUUGAGAUGAAUAGGACGAUGAGGGGUACGAAAAGUAGAAUGACCAAUGUGACAAAUCUGCAUACCUUCUCCACUUGCCGUGUGGAUGUGGUCUUUUCCACGGUAUUUUUCCUUCAUCGUGACCUUCUCAAGCUCAUUGGUGAUGUGGUUGGUGGCGCCGCUAUCAACAUACCAAUUUGUGUCGAUGCCGUAGGAUCCAUCAGCCGUGGCAGCCACCUUUUCUUCAUCUUGAGAGUCCUCGUCAUCUUCGUCAUAACGGUACCAGCAGUCCCGCGCGGUGUGCCCUGGCUUACCGCAGAUUUGACAGCGAGGGAGCUCCGGACGGGCCCGAGGUGGACCGCCGCCGCGGCGACCGCGAGAUGCACCAGAGCGGCUGUUGCCGCUGCCGCUGUUUCCACCACCACCGUGACCUCCAGAGCGUCCUUUUGCGCGAGAGGCGCCACGACCACGUGAUCCACCGCCACGACCACGCACGGCAGCGUUGGCAGAGGAACGGAAGCCGCCGCUGCCCGAGUGGUUGAACUGAGCCAUGCGCUGGUCGAAGUUGCUGAGCAUGGCGUAGAGCUCGUCGAGGGAGACCGGUGUGACGCGUGCGUCGAGGGCGGAGACGAGGGGCUGGUAGUCGACGUCGAGGCCGUGGAUGAUGUAGGAGAUGAGUUCGUCGUCUUGGAUGGCCUUCCCGGCCGCGGCGAGCUCGUCGGCGAGACCACGGAGGGAGGCGAAGUAGGCAGCAACUGUUUGGUUGCCCUUCUGCGCGUUGAUGAGCGCCGUCCUGAUAUUAUUCACGCGGCUCAUGGACUGCGAGGAAAACAUACCUGCCACCGCUGUCCAGAGCGCGUGCGCCGUGGUGACCGUGGUCACCGCGAUGAGAACCUCCUUGGAGAGGGUGCUGAGUAAGUAACCCAGCACCUGUUGAUCCUCCCGAACCUAGAUGGGGUGGAGAGGGUUGGGCUCAGCACUUUCUUUGCCAUCCUUGUCCUUGGUGACAUGAAGCCUGGCUGGCUCCGGUGUGGUGCCGUCGACGUAGCCGAAGACACCGGCGCCACGCAGAUGAGGGGUGACCUGCGUGCGCCAGAGCACGUAGUUCGUGCGUGUUAGCUUCUCGGUGACCUGUCCAUUGAGGGUGGUCUGGGAAGCACCGGAGGAGGAGGAGGAAGACAUGGCUAGGCUCGGUAGAUGGGAUCUCAGUAGAUGGGAAGAGAUGGGGCUCUGAUUACCAUGUGCGAACUAGCGGAACGUCUUGCCUUGCUCAGGCCGACGGGUUCGUGUUAAAUAGAUGGGGCGCACCUCCCAUAACAGCGCAUACAUGCGGUUUGGAUUACAAGCUUGGAGAUCAAGAAAGGAGAUAGAGAUAAGAGGUUACAUGAGAUAAACAAGAUACUCUAACAACCUAACUACCUUAACUAUCUCCUAUGAGAUGCGCCGGUCACAUAACAUGACGUGUUUAACAG